UACAGAGGGGGCAAGCGUUAUUCGGAAUUAUUGGGCGUAAAGGGCGCGUAGGCGGCUAUUCAAGUGGCGGGUGAAAUCCCUCGGCUUAACCGAGGAACUGCCUGCCAGACUGGAUGGCUUGAGACCGGGAGAGGUGAGUGGAAUUCCCAGUGUAGCGGUGAAAUGCGUAGAUAUUGGGAGGAACACCAGUGGCGAAGGCGGCUCACUGGACCGGUACUGACGCUGAGGCGCGAAAGCCAGGGGAGCAAACGGG
RNAcentral lists this ribosomal RNA (253 nucleotides) under uncultured bacterium. RNAcentral describes it as "partial 16S ribosomal RNA". It matches the Rfam family "Bacterial small subunit ribosomal RNA", at positions 524 to 776 of the family's 1533-position model. The record is from RNAcentral.